CCUACGGGAGGCAGCAGUGGGGAAUUUUGGACAAUGGGCGCAAGCCUGAUCCAGCCAUUCCGCGUGCAGGAUGAAGGCCCUCGGGUUGUAAACUGCUUUUUCACGAGCUUCGGUACCGUAAGAAUAAGCACCGGCUAACUACGUGCCAGCAGCCGCGGUAAUACGUAGGGUGCAAGCGUUAAUCGGAAUUACUGGGCGUAAAGCGUGCGCAGGCGGUGAUGUAAGACAGGUGUGAAAUCCCCGGGCUUAACCUGGGAACUGCAUUUGUGACUGCAUCGCUGGAGUGCGGCAGAGGGGGAUGGAAUUCCGCGUGUAGCAGUGAAAUGCGUAGAUAUGCGGAGGAACACCGAUGGCGAAGGCAAUCCCCUGGGCCUGACUGACGCUCAUGCACGAAAGCGUGGGGAGCAAACAGGAUUAGAUACCCUUGUAGUC
This 432-nucleotide ribosomal RNA is filed under the name uncultured bacterium. Its description in RNAcentral is "partial 16S ribosomal RNA". It matches the Rfam family "Bacterial small subunit ribosomal RNA", at positions 338 to 795 of the family's 1533-position model. The record is from RNAcentral.